GAAGAUAAUAAAUAAAUAAAUCCCGAAGGACGAAGCAGAUUCAGAUUCAUAGUACUUGGUUGGAGAUAGGACAUGCAGCCGUCAGGCAGGAAUAAUCAAAGCAGCAAACUUCAUUCCGUGGACUGCGUCUGACCAAAACGACGGCGUCAACAUCAAUCCAUUCUUCAUAGCGGAGGAGAUCGAGAGAGCCCGGCGAAAGCGAGAGACAGUCGGAGGAGUUAGAAAUGGUAAUUGAAGGGACCCCAGCAGCGCGUGGAUAUCACAUGCCUGCAGAGUGGGAGCGUCAUUCUCGGUGCUGGAUGGGUUGGCCUUUUGUGAUUCGACAUGGAUUCUCUCUGUCGGGCGACGGGUUUCGUCUGGUUUUGUCUAUAAGGAUUCUGUUGUCAGAUCAAUUCGAAUGCUAUCCAUCUGUUCGAUGAUUUUCCCUCGUUUAUGUCUUCGAUAAUAAUCAUACCCUUGUUUUCGAGAGAAUUUAUACGACUUCGAUUAGCUGCAAUGUUCUCUCUUUGUCUCUCUCUAUAGCCUAAUCAAAUUGCUGUCGUA
Molecule: non-coding RNA, 543 nt
Organism: Carica papaya (papaya)
Lineage: Eukaryota; Viridiplantae; Streptophyta; Magnoliopsida; Brassicales; Caricaceae
Source: RefSeq, a predicted model, not a curated record